This 274-nucleotide long non-coding RNA is filed under the name Salvia miltiorrhiza (redroot sage). Its description in RNAcentral is "long non-coding RNA (SMIL_LNC009431)". The record is from RNAcentral. Lineage: Eukaryota; Viridiplantae; Streptophyta; Magnoliopsida; Lamiales; Lamiaceae.
AGGCUCACAAACAUGUUCGCGAACAAUCGAAUUCAAACAUGUUCGCGAACUCAACGAGCCGAGCACUGUCAGGCUCGAGCUCGGCUCGAUAAAAAUUUCGAGCUCGAAAUCAGGCUCGAGCUCAGCUCGUUUAUUAUAGAAUCAAACUCCGAACGAGUUUUUUUCGAGUCGAAUGUCGAAUAGCUUGCGAGUAGCUUUAUUCAUUUACAGUCCUAUAUAUAAUAUAACCCACCAAAUGCUCCCACUUGUCAAAAAGAAAAAAAUGUAACAAAGA